GAUGAACGCUGGCGGCGUGCUUAACACAUGCAAGUCGAGCGAUGAAGUUUCCUUCGGGAAACGGAUUAGCGGCGGACGGGUGAGUAACACGUGGGUAACCUGCCUCAUAGAGUGGAAUAGCCUUCCGAAAGGAAGAUUAAUACCGCAUAACGUUGAAAGAUGGCAUCAUCAUUCAACCAAAGGAGCAAUCCGCUAUGAGAUGGCCCCGCGGCGCAUUAGCUAGUUGGUGGGGUAACGGCCUACCAAUGCGACGAUGCGUAGCCGACCUGAGAGGGUGAUCGGCCACAUUGGGACUGAGACACGGCCCAGACUCCUACGGGAGGCAGCAGUGGGGAAUAUUGCACAAUGGGGGAAACCCUGAUGCAGCAACGCCGCGUGAGUGAUGAAGGUUUUCGGAUCGUAAAGCUCUGUCUUUGGGGAAGAUAAUGACGGUACUCAAGGAGGAAGCCACGGCUAACUACGUGCCAGCAGCCGCCGUAA
Molecule: ribosomal RNA, 480 nt
Filed under: uncultured bacterium
Lineage: Bacteria
Description: partial 16S ribosomal RNA
Rfam family: Bacterial small subunit ribosomal RNA
Source: RNAcentral